Molecule: ribosomal RNA, 460 nt
Filed under: uncultured bacterium
Lineage: Bacteria
Description: partial 16S ribosomal RNA
Rfam family: Bacterial small subunit ribosomal RNA
Source: RNAcentral
CCUACGGGGGGCAGCAGUGAGGAAUAUUGGUCAAUGGACGAGAGUCUGAACCAGCCAAGUAGCGUGAAGGAUGACUGCCCUAUGGGUUGUAAACUUCUUUUAUAAAGGAAUAAAACGAGGCACGUGUGGCUUUUUGCAUGUACUUUAUGAAUAAGGAUCGGCUAACUCCGUGCCAGCAGCCGCGGUAAUACGGGGGAUCCGAGCGUUAUCCGGAUUUUUUGGGUUUAAAGGGAGCGUAGAUGGGUUUUUAAGUCCGUCGGGAAAGUUUGGGGGUCAACCGUCAAAUUGCAAUUGAUACUGGCGGUCUUGAGUACACUUGAGGUAGGCGGAAUGCGUGGUGUAGCGGUGAAAUGCAUAGAUAUCACGAAGAACCCCGAUUGCGAAGGCAGCUUACUAGACUGUGACUGACAUUGAUGCUCGAAAGUGUGGGUAUCAAACAGGAUUAGAUACCCUUGUAGUC